RNAcentral lists this transfer RNA (72 nucleotides) under Neotoma lepida (desert woodrat). It matches the Rfam family "tRNA". Rfam says of the family: Transfer RNA (tRNA) molecules are approximately 80 nucleotides in length. Their secondary structure includes four short double-helical elements and three loops (D, anti-codon, and T loops). Further hydrogen bonds mediate the characteristic L-shaped molecular structure. tRNAs have two regions of fundamental functional importance: the anti-codon, which is responsible for specific mRNA codon recognition, and the 3' end, to which the tRNAs corresponding amino acid is attached (by aminoacyl-tRNA synthetases). tRNAs cope with the degeneracy of the genetic code in two manners: having more than one tRNA (with a specific anti-codon) for a particular amino acid; and 'wobble' base-pairing, i.e. permitting non-standard base-pairing at the 3rd anti-codon position. The record is from Rfam by way of RNAcentral. Lineage: Eukaryota; Metazoa; Chordata; Mammalia; Rodentia; Cricetidae.
GGUGGUGUAGCUCAGUGGCAGAGUGCUUGCUUACCAUGCUCAAGGUUCUGGGUUGGAUUCCCAGCAAAACUA